GAUGAACGCUGGCGGCGUGCCUAAUACAUGCAAGUCGAGCGAACAGACGAGGAGCUUGCUCCUCUUACGUUAGCGGCGGACGGGUGAGUAACACGUGGAUAACCUACCUAUAAGACUGGCAUAACUUCGGGAAACCGGAGCUAAUACCCGAUAAUAUAUUGAACCUCAUGGUUCAUCAGUGAAAGCCGGUUUUGCUGUCACUAAUAGAUGUAUCCGGGCCGCAUUAGCUAAUUGGUAGGGUAACGGCCUACCAAGCCGACGUUGAGUAGCUGACCUGAGAGGAGGAUAGGGAACACUGGAACUGAGACAAGGUCCAGACUCCGACGGGAGGCAGCAGUGGGGAAUAUUGGACAAUGGGCGAAAGCCUGAUACAGCAAAGCCGCGUGUGUGAAGAAGGUAUUCGGAGUGUAAAGCACUUUAAGUGGGGAGGAAGGGAAGUAAGUUAAGACCUUGCUGUUUUGACGUUACCAACAGAAUAAGCAACGGCUAACUACGUG
Molecule: ribosomal RNA, 497 nt
Filed under: uncultured bacterium
Lineage: Bacteria
Description: partial 16S ribosomal RNA
Rfam family: Bacterial small subunit ribosomal RNA
Source: RNAcentral